Molecule: ribosomal RNA, 428 nt
Filed under: Bacteroidota bacterium
Lineage: Bacteria; Pseudomonadati; Bacteroidota
Description: Bacteroidetes bacterium partial 16S ribosomal RNA
Rfam family: Bacterial small subunit ribosomal RNA
Source: RNAcentral
UAGGGAAUCUUCCGCAAUGGACGCAAGUCUGACGGAGCAACGCCGCGUGAGUGAAGAAGGAUUUCGGUUCGUAAAACUCUGUUGUUAGAGAAGAACAGCGCAUAGAGUAACUGUUAUGCGUGUGACGGUAUCUAACCAGAAAGCCACGGCUAACUACGUGCCAGCAGCCGCGGUAAUACGUAGGUGGCAAGCGUUGUCCGGAUUUAUUGGGCGUAAAGCGAGCGCAGGCGGUCAAUUAAGUCUGAUGUGAAAGCCCCCGGCUCAACCGGGGAGGGUCAUUGGAAACUGGUUGACUUGAGUGCAGAAGAGGAGAGUGGAAUUCCAUGUGUAGCGGUGAAAUGCGUAGAUAUAUGGAGGAACACCAGUGGUGAAGGCGACUCUCUGGUCUGUAACUGACGCUGAGGCUCGAAAGCGUGGGUAGCAAACAG